UAUCUCUGUAGAGUCUGCAUAUCAAUAAGCGGAGGAAAAGAAACUAACUAGGAUUCCCUCAGUAACGGCGAGUGAAGCGGGAAGAGCUCAAAUUUGAAAUCUUCAAGGUUCUACCUUGACGAAUUGUAGUUUAAAGAAGUGUUUUCUGUUGGAGUUUUGGUAAAAGUUCUUUGGAAUAGGACAUCAUAGAGGGUGAGAAUCCCGUAUUUGACCAUUAUUUCCAACUUUGUGAUACACUUUCAAAGAGUCGGAUUGUUUGGGAAUGCAGUCCAAAAUGGGUGGUAAAUUUCAUCUAAAGCUAAAUAUUGGCGAGAGACCGAUAGCGAACAAGUACCGUGAGGGAAAGAUGAAAAGAACUUUGAGAAGAGAGUUAAACAGUACGUGAAAUUGUCAAAAGGGAAGCGUUUGACACCAGUGUUGUUUUCUCGAAAAUCAAUUAAAAAGAGUUGGAUUUUGUGUUGUAUUGACCUUAAUCAGCUUUCUGCACUCUUUUCAUUGUCUUUUUUAAUGCACUUUUCGUUUAACAAGUCAACAUCAAUUUCUUUUGUUGUAAAAGGGUCAUUGGAAGGUGGCUUUCUUUUCGGAGAAAGUGUUUAUAGCCUUUGGCCUCUGCAAUCGGAGAGAUUGAGGUCUGCAGCGUAGAUCCUUCGGGGUUAGAUACAUUUGUGCUAAGUUAUAGCCUUUCAUAGACAACUUGUUGACUAUGAUCAGUCAUGUAGCUUACUCGCUUAUGCUAUUUUACCUACGCUUAGGAUGUUGAGUCAUCACACAUCUCU
This 776-nucleotide ribosomal RNA is filed under the name uncultured Neocallimastigales. RNAcentral describes it as "partial large subunit ribosomal RNA". It matches the Rfam family "Eukaryotic large subunit ribosomal RNA", at positions 24 to 614 of the family's 3401-position model. Lineage: Eukaryota; Fungi; Neocallimastigomycota; Neocallimastigomycetes; Neocallimastigales. The record is from RNAcentral.